CCUACGGGAGGCAGCAGUGAGGAAUAUUGGUCAAUGGACGCAAGUCUGAACCAGCCAUGCCGCGUGCAGGAAGACGGCCCUAUGAGUUGUAAACUGCUUUUGUACGAGGGUAAACGCAGGUACGCGUAUCUUUCUGAAAGUAUCGUACGAAUAAGGAUCGGCUAACUCCGUGCCAGCAGCCGCGGUAAUACGGAGGAUUCAAGCGUUAUCCGGAUUUAUUGGGUUUAAAGGGUGCGUAGGCGGUCGGAUAAGUUAGAGGUGAAAUCUCGAGGCUCAACUUCGGAAUUGCCUCUGAUACUGUUCGGCUAGAGAGUAGUUGCGGUAGGCGGAAUGUAUGGUGUAGCGGUGAAAUGCUUAGAGAUCAUACAGAACACCGAUUGCGAAGGCAGCUUACCAAGCUACUUCUGACGUUGAGGCACGAAAGCGUGGGGAGCAAACAGGAUUAGAUACCCGGGUAGUC
RNAcentral lists this ribosomal RNA (460 nucleotides) under uncultured bacterium. Its description in RNAcentral is "partial 16S ribosomal RNA". It matches the Rfam family "Bacterial small subunit ribosomal RNA", at positions 338 to 795 of the family's 1533-position model. The record is from RNAcentral.